RNAcentral lists this ribosomal RNA (605 nucleotides) under uncultured Saccharomycetales. Its description in RNAcentral is "eukaryotic LSU rRNA". The stretch from base 216 to 369 matches the Rfam family "5.8S ribosomal RNA". Lineage: Eukaryota; Fungi; Ascomycota; Saccharomycetes. The record is from RNAcentral.
CUGCGGAGGAUCAUUACAGUAUUCUUUUUGCCAGCGCUUGAUUGCGCGGCGAAAAAACCUUACACACAGUGUUUUUUGUUAUUACAAGAACUUUUGCUUUGGUCUGGACUAGAAAUAGUUUGGGCCAGAGGUUUACUGAACUAAACUUCAAUAUUUAUAUUGAAUUGUUAUUUAUUUAAUUGUCAAUUUGUUGAUUAAAUUCAAAAAAUCUUCAAAACUUUCAACAACGGAUCUCUUGGUUCUCGCAUCGAUGAAGAACGCAGCGAAAUGCGAUAAGUAAUAUGAAUUGCAGAUUUUCGUGAAUCAUCGAAUCUUUGAACGCACAUUGCGCCCUCUGGUAUUCCAGAGGGCAUGCCUGUUUGAGCGUCAUUUCUCUCUCAAACCUUCGGGUUUGGUAUUGAGUGAUACUCUUAGUCGAACUAGGCGUUUGCUUGAAAUGUAUUGGCAUGAGUGGUACUGGAUAGUGCUAUAUGACUUUCAAUGUAUUAGGUUUAUCCAACUCGUUGAAUAGUUUAAUGGUAUAUUUCUCGGUAUUCUAGGCUCGGCCUUACAAUAUAACAAACAAGUUUGACCUCAAAUCAGGUAGGAUUACCCGCUGAACUUAA